Gossypium hirsutum (cotton) is the source of this 107-nucleotide non-coding RNA. Lineage: Eukaryota; Viridiplantae; Streptophyta; Magnoliopsida; Malvales; Malvaceae. The record is from Rfam.
AACCCAUAAUGAUGACAUUUUCUAAAUAAAUCCUUAAAUCUCUCCCAUGUAUCAUAAAGAGUUUCAAUAUCAAACUGAAGAAAAGAAGAGAUGUCAUUUCUCAAUUU